Stegodyphus mimosarum is the source of this 73-nucleotide non-coding RNA. NCBI's taxonomy places the organism in Eukaryota, Metazoa, Arthropoda, Arachnida, Araneae, Eresidae. The record is from Rfam.
GCCUUCUUGAUGUAGUGGUCAGCACGCUCGACGCGUAAUCGAGAGGUCCGUGGUUCGAUUCCCGGCGAAGACG